This 582-nucleotide ribosomal RNA is filed under the name uncultured bacterium. RNAcentral describes it as "partial 16S ribosomal RNA". It matches the Rfam family "Bacterial small subunit ribosomal RNA", at positions 355 to 1375 of the family's 1533-position model. The record is from RNAcentral.
UGGGGAAUUUUGGACAAUGGGCGAAAGCCUGAUCCAGCAAUGCCGCGUGUGUGAAGAAGGCCUUCGGGUUGUAAAGCACUUUUGUCCGGAAAGAAAUCCUUGGCUCUAAUACAGUCGGGGGAUGACGGUACCGGAAGAAUAAGCACCGGCUAACUACGUGCCAGCAGCCGCGGUAAUACGUAGGGUGCAAGCGUUAAUCGGAAUUACUGGGCGUAAAGCGUGCGCAGGCGGUUUGCUAAGACCGAUGUGAAAUCCCCGGGCUCAACCUGGGAACUGCAUUGGUGACUGGCAGGCUAGAGUAUGGCAGAGGGGGGUAGAAUUCCACGUGUAGCAGUGAAAUGCGUAGAGAUGUGGAGGAAUACCGAUGGCGAAGGCAGCCCCCUGGGCCAAUACUGACGCUCAUGCACGAAAGCGUGGGGAGCAAACAGGAUUAGAUACCCUGGUAGUCCACGCCCUAAACGAUGUCAACUAGUUGUUGGGGAUUCAUUUCCUUAGUACGUAGCUAACGCGUGAAGUUGACCGCCUGGGGAGUACGGUCGCAAGAUUAAACUCAAUGAAUUGACGGGGUCAUAGCUGUUUCCU